UCUCCGUUGGUGAACCAGCGGAGGGAUCAUUAAAGAGUUGAAAGACUCCCAAAACCACUGUGGACUUUACCUUUUAUCGUUGCUUCGGCGGUGAACGGGUUUAGGGUGCCCUUUACUUUUUCGGUGGGGGGACCCGACCAGCGAGCCGCCGGAGGUUACCUAAACUUUGUAUUUAUGUAGUGUAUCUCUGAGCAUUAAAAAACAAGUCAAAACUUUCAACAACGGAUCUCUUGGUUCUG
RNAcentral lists this unclassified non-coding RNA (239 nucleotides) under soil metagenome. RNAcentral describes it as "partial contains small subunit ribosomal RNA, internal transcribed spacer 1, and 5.8S ribosomal RNA". The record is from RNAcentral.